RNAcentral lists this unclassified non-coding RNA (728 nucleotides) under Hevea brasiliensis (rubber tree). Lineage: Eukaryota; Viridiplantae; Streptophyta; Magnoliopsida; Malpighiales; Euphorbiaceae. The record is from RNAcentral.
CCCCAGCAUUCUAUAAACAGAGAUACAUUCACAAAGCCCAUAUUUAGAAAAGUGAUCAUCUAUUCUUUACCGCCAAGCUUGACAGAGUAGGCGCUACCUUUUGAGAGGCUUAUAAAGGACAACAGUGACAAAUUUGGAUUGGAACCUAUGGGUAAGUCCCAAAGCAACUAGAGACUGAGAUGCCCGUCCUUUAUCUAAAAAAAGGUGGUUAAGCACAACGUGUUGAGGUUUUAAAGAAGCUUCAUUUGAAUUCUCCAUACCAAGGACAGUAAGACGCAGCUGUUGUGGAACAACUAAUGGCUCUCUUGCAAAAUCUUCCUCACUUGGAAAUGACUGACCAUAAGUGGAGCCUGGAGAUGGUGGAGCCUCAAAUUCAGCCACACUGUCCAGGUUUUCUGGCACAUAAUUAUUAACAUCAAGAAGAUUAUAAAAACGGCCCAUCCCAUCAGACACACAAGGAAGAUCUGGAUUAUAUCUCCAUUCCCCAUCUACAAUAAACUUAUAAUGGUAUAUGCCUGAUCGAAGGACCAGCAGAAUAGAAUGAUCGUUACCAGAUCUUUGCAUUCGCUUCCUUGACAUCCAGUUAUCCCAAGAUCCUUCAAGGAAUACUUCAUUACCACCAUAGUUCCAGGAGAUAAUGGUUGGGAUUCCUUGCUCAGGACGAUGAUCAACAACUCCACGAGAUUCAUUUCGCCACAUUUGAUUUAAAAAAGGCAGGCCAUCAGACC